UACGGAGGGUGCAAGCGUUGUUCGGAAUCAUUGGGCGUAAAGCGCGUGUAGGCGGCCUGGUAAGUCGGGUGUGAAAUCCCGGGGCUCAACCCCGGAACUGCACUAGAAACUGCCUCGCUAGAGUCUCGGAGAGGAAGGCGGAAUUCCCGGUGUAGAGGUGAAAUUCGUAGAUAUCGGGAGGAACACCAGCGGCGAAGGCGGCCUUCUGGACGGUACUGACGCUGAGGAGCGAAAGCGUGGGUAGCAAACAGG
This 252-nucleotide ribosomal RNA is filed under the name uncultured bacterium. RNAcentral's name for it is "partial 16S ribosomal RNA". It matches the Rfam family "Bacterial small subunit ribosomal RNA", at positions 524 to 776 of the family's 1533-position model. The record is from RNAcentral.